UACGUAGGGUGCGAGCGUUGUCCGGAAUUAUUGGGCGUAAAGCGCGUGUAGGCGGUUCGGUAAGUCCGCUGUGAAAGUCGGGGGCUCAACCCUCGGAUGCCGGUGGAUACUGUCGAGCUUGAGUACGGAAGAGGCGAGUGGAAUUCCUGGUGUAGCGGUGAAAUGCGCAGAUAUCAGGAGGAACACCAAUUGCGAAGGCAGCUCGCUGGGACGUUACUGACGCUGAGACGCGAAAGCGUGGGGAGCAAACAGG
This 253-nucleotide ribosomal RNA is filed under the name uncultured bacterium. RNAcentral describes it as "partial 16S ribosomal RNA". It matches the Rfam family "Bacterial small subunit ribosomal RNA", at positions 524 to 776 of the family's 1533-position model. The record is from RNAcentral.